Molecule: ribosomal RNA, 512 nt
Filed under: uncultured bacterium
Lineage: Bacteria
Description: partial 16S ribosomal RNA
Rfam family: Bacterial small subunit ribosomal RNA
Source: RNAcentral
GACGAACGCUGGCGGCGUGCCUAAUACAUGCAAGUCGAGCGGAUCUUCAUUAGCUUGCUUUUGAAGAUCAGCGGCGAACGGGUGAGUAACACGUGGGCAACCUGCCUGUAAGACUGGGAUAACUUCGGGAAACCGGAGCUAAUACCGGAUAAUCCUUUUCCUCUCAUGGGGAAAAGCUGAAAGACGGUUUCGGCUGUCACUUACAGAUGGGCCCGCGGCGCAUUAGCUAGUUGGUGAGGUAACGGCUCACCAAGGCGACGAUGCGUAGCCGACCUGAGAGGGUGAUCGGCCACACGGGGACUGAGACACGGCCCAGACUCCUACGGGAGGCAGCAGUAGGGAAUCUUCCGCAAUGGACGAAAGUCUGACGGAGCAACGCCGCGUGAGCGAUGAAGGCCUUCGGGUCGUAAAGCUCUGUUGUCAGGGAAGAACAAGUACCGGAGUAACUGCCGGUACCUUGACGGUACCUGACCAGAAAGCCACGGCUAACUACGUGCCAGCCGCCGCCGUAA